GUCGAGGAUUUUUCUCAAUGGGGGAAACCCUGAAGGAGCGACGCCGCGUGGGGGAUGAAGGUCUUCGGAUUGUAAACCCCUGUCACUUGGGAACAACCCUGUUCACCUAACACGUGAAGAGCUGAUAGUACCAGGAGAGGAAGACGUGGCUAACUCUGUGCCAGCAGCCGCGGUAAUACAGAGACGUCGAGCGUUGUUCGGAUUCAUUGGGCGUAAAGGGUGCGUAGGCGGUGAGGUAAGUUGGAUGUGAAAUCCCAAGGCUUAACCUUGGAAGUGCAUCCAAAACUACCUUGCUUGAGGACUGGAAGGGAGACUGGAAUUCUCGGUGUAGCGGUGAAAUGCGUAGAUAUCGAGAGGAACACCUGUGGCGAAGGCGGGUCUCUGGACAGUUCCUGACGCUGAGGCACGAAAGCCAGGGGAGCAAACGGGAUUAGAAACCCCUGUAGUCC
RNAcentral lists this ribosomal RNA (449 nucleotides) under uncultured bacterium. Its description in RNAcentral is "bacterial SSU rRNA". It matches the Rfam family "Bacterial small subunit ribosomal RNA", at positions 354 to 796 of the family's 1533-position model. The record is from RNAcentral.